Physcomitrium patens is the source of this 1164-nucleotide non-coding RNA. Lineage: Eukaryota; Viridiplantae; Streptophyta; Bryopsida; Funariales; Funariaceae. The record is from RefSeq and is a predicted model, not a curated record.
GUGAGAAUUCAAAGUUUGUGUGGAUCCAUUAUGAACUUGUGCAUUUGUUGCGGAAUGUAGAGCUUGCGGCGAUCGCAGCGACUAUGGCGAGCGAUCUGCCGGCGGGAGCUUUCUCGAAACCAUCCACGAUCCGAGCCGCUGCCGAUCGAUCAAGCAAUGAUUUGAGCCCUGUGCUCAAUGAUCGAGACAAUGUUUGUUGCCACCGGGUCAUUGCAUUCAGGUCAUGUUUCCAGUCACUACAUACAGCAUGAGAGUUUGAAUUCGUGGUCGACGUUGCGAAUUACAUUCCGAGGAUUGAAUUUCGGUUUCUUGUUAAGAUUGCGUCACGCAGAGUCGCAUUUACAAUGCUUAUUUGUUUCGGUUUCUAGUCUUGUGCGCUCUCAGGGAAUUAUUAUUCCUCGUCGCUGGAGGAGAGCAUUUCCGACCGCUGUAUUCUAGAACAGAGCAUUUUCUUGCCGAGAAAUUGCGGAAGAAGUGGUUUUAGGAUUCGACGUUGCCCGUUUUCGUCGUCUCCUUGCACGGAUCAUCUUAAGGCGUCAUUUCGAUUGGUUGUGCGAUUCUUUCACAGGAACCAAACCGGGAAGUCAGUCAGCAAUUGACGUGUUUUGGAGCUUUCUGAGUCCCCAUCUUUUUAAUCUUUUCGAGAAUCUGUUUGCCAACCUCGAACUCAUCACAUCCAUUGAGAUUCAACUGCACUAUCUGCUUUGAAUAAAAUAAAUUGAAUCAAUUCUGGAUUGGUAGAUGUCGUUUGUCAGGCUUUCCUCUUCCUCGCAAGAUGGUUGGCAUGGGAUGGAGCUUGCGACGAAGCAAGAUACGCCUGUCCACAAGUUACUUUUAUCAAAGACGAUUUCUUAUCUAACCGUCAUGCACAACUUGCGAACACGGUGCAGAGCCUUCAUGCGUCAUUGUGCAGAAUCUAUGGAGGAAAUUGGUAUGUUCAUCACGCUUUGUGCGACAAGGAAUUAUCAUGCACAGUAUUGCUGUUUGUGUGCAUAUCGUAGUCAGGCAAGGACAUGAAACAGGUUUUCGGAAGUUAACGUUAAAAUUUCUCAUGUCAGUUCAACACCGAAUCGUGUUGUAAAAAUUCAACGUUGAUCGUUUAAUAUUUAUUUUUUGCAAACAGAAUGGAGGUACCAAGAAAGUAAUCGAAAAACGUUAAGUCAA